RNAcentral lists this ribosomal RNA (446 nucleotides) under uncultured bacterium. Its description in RNAcentral is "bacterial SSU rRNA". It matches the Rfam family "Bacterial small subunit ribosomal RNA", at positions 331 to 794 of the family's 1533-position model. The record is from RNAcentral.
CCAGACUCCUACGGGAGGCAGCAGUGAGGAAUAUUGGGCAAUGGAGGCAACUCUGACCCAGCCAUGCCGCGUGAGUGAAGAAGGUUUUCGGAUUGUAAAGCUCUUUCGGAUGUGACGAUGAUGACGGUAGCAUCUAAAGAAGCCCCGGCUAACUACGUGCCAGCAGCCGCGGUAAUACGUAGGGGGCGAGCGUUAUCCGGAUUUACUGGGUGUAAAGGGAGCGUAGACGGUUAAUCAAGUCUGAAGUGAAAGCCCGCGGCUCAACUGCGGAACGGCUUUGGAAACUGAGUAACUGGAGUGCUGGAGGGGCAGGCGGAAUUCCUGGUGUAGCGGUGAAAUGCGUAGAUAUCAGGAGGAACACCGGUGGCGAAGGCGGCCUGCUGGACAGUAACUGACGUUGAGGCUCGAAAGCGUGGGGAGCAAACAGGAUUAGAUACCCCCGUAAC